AAAAAUAUCAGUUUCUUUACUUAAUCAAUUUUAAAAAAAUAGCCUUCAAUCUGUAACGUCUUAUUAAUUUUGACCGAGUAAUAAAUUCAAACAUGUGAGUAUAAAUUAAAUUGCAAUAAUAUAAUGAAAUGAAUCCUUAAAAUUAAAUUGCAAUAAUAUAAAUUCUCAAAAAAAAAGUGUAUAAAUUAAUUCAUUUGUUAUUUAGGUGAG
Molecule: long non-coding RNA, 210 nt
Filed under: Panax ginseng (ginseng)
Lineage: Eukaryota; Viridiplantae; Streptophyta; Magnoliopsida; Apiales; Araliaceae
Description: long non-coding RNA (PGIN_LNC013332)
Source: RNAcentral